CUGAGUCUGGGGCCCACAGCAGGCCAGGCACAACUCUGCCACUCCCCUUAUUCCCAGGCAGAGGGUAGGAUCCAUCGGAUUUUCCAUAUUCCUAGGCCAGUUUUGAAAGCUCCUCCCCAGAUGCUGAGACCACAUUUCCCGUGCAGGAGGAGGUGGAUGGGGAGAGUUUGCAUCUGGGAGUUUUGUCAAGAUGACUUUUAUCAUCAGUACAUGUCACAAGAAAACAUUUAAAAUGACACUGAAACAAUCAUUGAAAUCAUGGUGCAUGCUUAACCCAGCCACUUCUCGACAUGGUCUGCACAUACAGUAGAUACAUUCAUUAUUGUCCAAGGGAAGACAGUAACUGCCUUUCAUUUUAAAGAGCUUGGUGGAGAGGCUGAAGAAAUGUGCUUUCUCCUCAGCUACCUUUCCCCCAAGCACAGGAGGCCUCAGCUCCUGAAGCUCUGAAUUUACAGUACACAGUAGCAGACGGCUUGCCCUUUGGAAGGCUCCAUGGAAAGAAGGCUCAUCCCUGACUUGGGGCAACUUGACCGAAGUUUCUACUCUCCAGAAUCUCUUUUCUGUGGUCACCCGACUGGCAAGUGGAAGAUGGAAGCACCAAGGUUCCUGCAAAAGAUAGAUCAAGACCUUUGCUAUCAACCUUUCAGCCCAUCCCAAUGGCCUUGAAUGGCACGUGUCCUGGAAAACCAGGUCUGCUGCCUGUACGCCCGAGCGAAACCUAUGCUCAGCUGGAGAAGAGGACAGCCUUUCAGGGUUCAUGAAUGUUCUCCCUAGAACAGAUGGAAUGGCAGCUACAAUGCCCUUGGGAAUGUGAGGUCCUGGUGGAGUCUCUGGGGAAGUGAAAGAAGCUCCUUUAACUUGACUCCACUCACAGGACAAAGUGCAGGAGACAGAACAGAAUGGAUAGAAGAGGCUUCUCCUUUCUUCUUGCUCUAGAGUGAAGGAGAUGGACAGUUACCUUGAAAUGCUACGGGAAGGAUGAGCAUGGAGAGCUGCCUGUUAUUCUGAGCCAACUUCUGGCAAGAUGCUGGGUGAAUCGACUGCCUAGAAUUGAAGAACUGGCUCUCAAGCAGUUGCUGCUAAAGAAUGCCAGCAAACAAACCACACACAACUGUGGUAAGCCAGGCGGAAAUCCCUCCACCCUCUGGCAUGAGAUGGCAGUCUAGAAAGGACUCUCCAUGAGAUGCCUGGGGCCUGAGGAAGCAGAGGCAUGGACACACUGUUCUACGAUGACUCAGGGCCACCCAUGAGUGGGACAUUCGUGGGGAUGAGAUGGGAGCAGGGAGAAGCAGCAGUUGUAAUGGCCAGCCACGUGGGGACCAGUUCCGUGCCUGGCCUUUCUUUCUCUGGUGGAAGCCAUCUUGUUUUGAUCCUAAGAAAAAUGGGUGUCAUUUUAUCCAGGAAUCUAAGAAUUAUAAUAAUAAAU
This 1426-nucleotide long non-coding RNA is filed under the name Homo sapiens (human). Its description in RNAcentral is "HSALNT0133005". Lineage: Eukaryota; Metazoa; Chordata; Mammalia; Primates; Hominidae. The record is from RNAcentral.